AGUCUAUAGACUGUAAUGUAUUGAAUACAAAUCUUCUAUGUAAGAGUAAUCAUAUAAGCGACUUGUAAGUAAUAAGUUGAUAGCAAUUCUAAAGAGAAUUAAAACACUUAUUGUGUAACUCAGGCGAAUUAAGGAAAUCUAGGUAGCGUAUCAGAUGAUACCAAGAUUGUCUAAUACCAAGAGUGGUGAAACUCAACCAGUCUAGGGUAACAGGAGUUAUUCGUUGAUUAGGGAUACCAAGAGUGGUGAAAAAUAAUGCACAACCAAGAGGGGGUGAAACUCAACUAGGCAGUAUAUCGGGGGAUACCAAGAGUGCCUAGGGAUAAUAGGAGUGGUGAGAAUUAUAAUCUUGUUGAAGAUUAUAGUGGAACCCUCUAAGGAUAGAGGAGACUGGAUGUAGCUUAGUUGGAGUGAAUCAGUAUAAAAAUAUUUGUGCAUUUAAUGUUUACCUCUCUUUCAACGAUUAUUUUAUAAAACAUACAGUUGCAUUUUAGUUUUGAUCACAAGAUCUUCUAACACUAAACCAUUGUUUAUUUAGAGGAAGUUCUUACAAACAC
Molecule: long non-coding RNA, 557 nt
Filed under: Vigna radiata
Lineage: Eukaryota; Viridiplantae; Streptophyta; Magnoliopsida; Fabales; Fabaceae
Description: long non-coding RNA (VRAD_LNC005499)
Source: RNAcentral